GAUGAACGCUGGCGGCGUGCCUAAUACAUGCAAGUCGAGCGAACGGACGAGAAGCUUGCUUCUCUGAUGUUAGCGGCGGACGGGUGAGUAACACGUGGAUAACCUACCUAUAAGACUGGGAUAACUUCGGGAAACCGGAGCUAAUACCGGAUAAUAUUUUGAACCGCAUGGUUCAAAAGUGAAAGGCGGUCUUGCUGUCACUUAUAGAUGGAUCCGCGCUGCAUUAGCUAGUUGGUAAGGUAACGGCUUACCAAGGCAACGAUGCAUCGCCGACCUGAGAGGGUGAUCGGCCACACUGGAACUGAGACACGGUCCAGACUCCUACGGGAGGCAGCAGUAGGGAAUCUUCCGCAAUGGGCGAAAGCCUGACGGAGCAACGCCGCGUGAGUGAUGAAGGUCUUCGGAUCGUAAAACUCUGUUAUUAGGGAAGAACAUAUGUGUAAGUAACUGUGCACAUCUUGACGGUACCUAAUCAGAAAGCCACGGCUAACUACGUG
This 497-nucleotide ribosomal RNA is filed under the name uncultured bacterium. Its description in RNAcentral is "partial 16S ribosomal RNA". It matches the Rfam family "Bacterial small subunit ribosomal RNA", at positions 28 to 507 of the family's 1533-position model. The record is from RNAcentral.